RNAcentral lists this ribosomal RNA (263 nucleotides) under uncultured bacterium. RNAcentral's name for it is "partial 16S ribosomal RNA". It matches the Rfam family "Bacterial small subunit ribosomal RNA", at positions 793 to 1055 of the family's 1533-position model. The record is from RNAcentral.
GUCCACGCUGUAAACGAUGAGAACUAGAUGUUGGUCAGCAAGACUGAUUAGUAUCGAAGCUAACGCGAUAAGUUCUCCGCCUGGGGAGUACGACCGCAAGGUUAAAACUCAAAGGAAUUGACGGGGGCCCGCACAAGCGGUGGAGCAUGUGGUUUAAUUCGAUGCAACGCGAAGAACCUUACCUACCCUUGACAUCCUGCGAAGACUGAAGAGAUUUAGUUGUGCCGAAAGGAACGCAGAGACAGGUGCUGCAUGGCUGUCGU